This is a non-coding RNA of Podarcis lilfordi (Lilford's wall lizard), 75 nucleotides long. The record is from the annotation of a GenBank genome assembly. NCBI's taxonomy places the organism in Eukaryota, Metazoa, Chordata, Lepidosauria, Squamata, Lacertidae.
GCCUCUGGUGGCACAGUGAGUUAAUGCGUCUGGAUGUUAACCUGAAGGUUGGUGGUUCAAGCCCACCCAGGGAUG